RNAcentral lists this long non-coding RNA (3337 nucleotides) under Capsicum annuum. RNAcentral's name for it is "long non-coding RNA (CANN_LNC002590)". Lineage: Eukaryota; Viridiplantae; Streptophyta; Magnoliopsida; Solanales; Solanaceae. The record is from RNAcentral.
UUUUUUUGAUAUAGAAUCUUUUUCACAAGGAUAUUCCAAUAUAAAAUCUCCCACCAGGAGGGAGGAAUUCGGCUUUGAUGAGUAGCUAUCUUGUUGGUCUACUCAAAAUGAUCAGAAUGUAUUGCCACCUAUCACUAAUCACGUAGCAUCUUGUGGUGGUUGAUCCUUCAAGAAAAACGUGCCCUAUAGGCGAACUGGAUUCUCAUUUGUGUUAGGGUCUUACACAACUUCAACAUUGUCUUCAACUUACAGUAGUUAAAAAUAAAAUCGAGUGAUCAGGCUUCCUUAUCAUAAACCCUGCUUGAAGCAAAAGAGGGCCAUUUGAAAGGUAUAAAAUAGAGUGAGGGGUCAAAGUGAUACAGGAAAACAAUUGAAGACACAAAACACACCCCAAAACAGUCCACAAAUCACAAGGAUCCUAGGACCGAUUGGAGACCACACUCGAAUUCAAGAAUACAAUACAAGAAUGACAAUAUUCAAGAUGUUCAACACCUAUUUUAAGCCAACCCAAACUAAGUUAACCAACAAUAAGAUGAUGAACAAGAAGAACAAUAACAAUGUGAAACAACAACAACCAAACGGUUACAAUAACAAUACCAAACUACACGAUUACAAUGAAACAAAGGGAUAGAUAGAUAGACAAAGUGAAGGUAUAAUCUUAAGAACCCAAGAGCUUAUUCCACACUUGGACCCUUAAGAGUACACUCAACAAAUACCUAUGUCUUCGGUGGACACAAGAGAGACCUCAACCUCCUCUAGCACCCAACGUUCCAAGCAAGAAUCCAACAAGAGUGAUUCCACACUCCUCUUGACCUAAUUUCGGGUUUGUGCCUCAAGGAGAGAGGACUUGUGUUCCAAAGUGUUAAUACACUCAUAAUAUCAUGAAUAAUCUAAGACAAAAUGACCUACAAUAUUCUAUUUAUACUAGGUUACAAAUAGAAUACAAAAUGACCGAAAGACCCUUUAAUGAAAAGCCUCAAAAUAUCGCCCAUGGAGUGUAGUCUAGGUUCGGUUUUGGUGUGUGUUUUAGGCCCUCUUUUGCAUUUUUCUUGCACACUCCAAGCCUUGGGUUCAUUGUACUUUCACACGUCCAUCCUCAUGGUCGUACUUGUAUCAUCCUCCCCAUCUUGAAAAGGAUUCGAGCUCGAAUCCGUACCUUGCAAAAUCAAGAGAAGAUAAACAAGCACACAUCCUCAUGACAUGAGGGGUUAGGGUUAGCAAAAAUAACACAUCAACAUGCCAUGCCGAGGCGGAACAAACUUAAAGUUUAGCCACGGGUCCUUUGUUUUAAUCAUGAAAAGAUUAGUACAAAUGCAACAAAGGAGUUGGCUCGGGCAAGCAUCAAGACAAAAGAAAAAUAGGUCGAGCGUAAUCCUUUCCCCCCCAAGAUGGUACCAGGAUCAAAUGGGAGAAGUAGCCAUGGCCAUGGUUUUCGGUCAUACUUACUUUCCCCUAAGGUGCCACCCUCAAAAUUAGACAUACCCUCUAUAUAACGAUAGAAAAUAUUAAGAGCACAAAGAGGGUAGGAGAAAAUUGAAGAAAAGAACAAAGAAAGACAACAACAAUAACAACAAACCCAGUGUGUUCCCACAAAGUGGGGUCUGGGGAGGGUAAGAUGUACGCAGUCCAUACUGCUACCUCCGAAGAAGUAGGGUGUCCUCAUGCAAGUACUUACUAAUUUCAAGUUCAUUGAUUAGCAAGCUCAACAUAGGAAACACACGAAGGAGUAGAUAGCAUUUCUAGGCAUGCAACACUUUCUAUUUCAAGAGAGUAGUCCUAAAUAGACAUAAACCAUCAUGGACAGCAAAGGGAGUACAAUCAAAACCAACUUCACAAGAACAAACACUAAUCGGAUUGUCUAGACAUUCAAGCACGUCAAGGUCAUCGUCACCCGAUUGAUCAUUUUUCACAUCCUCACUAGUUGUUGGCAACUCACAUACCAAUUUAGACUCACCUUGGUUUUCAAAAGGGUCAACUAGUGUGUGAAUACUCUUAGUACACGGCAAUGGAACCUUAUUCAAGUCACAAGUGCUAGCACUAGAUAGACAUAAAUCAUUCUUACGAGAAGAAUUAAUUUUGUCAUCUAAAGGAUCAAUUAGUGCUUGCUUACUUACAACAAAAACUUAGUUGUCAUGCAUCCUGACAAUACCAAGAGUAUCACAAAAGGAAGACCCAUGCACUUCUACUCUAUGCAAACCCGAAACCACUCUCAUUUGGCUACUACUAGUCACAUCACAAUAUUCCAAGUUUGUAGGAGUGUGGGGAUUAACAUUUUUACCUUGUAACUCGCAUGAGUUACGGUCUUCACUUUGAUGUGUGUCAUGGCAGCCCGCUUGUACCUUUGACAAUUUCUCAUCACAAGGGAGCCUUUGAUAUAGUGGUUUGUAUGGCAUCCACUCCCUUUCUCGUCUUUCACAGUCACGGAGGAUAGUUUCAAGAAGGGCCAUUGUUCCUUGGUCAAGUGGAGGUUGGAUUAAUGGUUUUGGAUUCGGGGAGUCAUGUAUGUGACAUAGUCUUUCAAGGUUUCGGUGGACAUCUUCAAGGGCAGUCUUGAAAGUACCGUCAUCCAUGGGACCUAAGAAAGACAAUAACAAAAACAAACAAACAAACUUGUUAGGAUCCUAGGACCAAACAAACUUCUUGUAUCAUGAUACUGUGUUUUUUUUGGGAACAAAAUCAAGCCAUGCUCUGAUACCAAAUGAUACAAGAAAACAAUGGAAGACACAAAACACACCCCAAACAGUCCACAAAUCACAAGGAUCCUAGGAUCGAUUGGAGACCACACUCGGCUUUAAGAAUACAAUACAAGAAUGACAAUAUUCAAGGUGUUCAACACCUAUUUUAAGCCAACCCAAACUAAGUUAAACCAACAAUAAGAUGAUGAACAAGAAGAACAAUAACAAUGUGAAACAACAACAACCAAACAGUUACAAUAACAACAAUACCAAACUACACAAUAACAAUGAAAUAAAGGGAUAGAUAGAUAGACAAAGUGAAGGUAUAAUCUUAAGAACCCAAGAGCUUAUUCCACACUUGGACCCUUAACAGUACACUCAACAAAUACCUAUCUCUUUAGUGGACACAAGAGAGACAACUCAACCUCCUCUAGCACCCAACGUUCUAAGCAAGAAUCCAACAAGAGUGAUUCCACACUCCUCUUGACCUAAUUUCGGGUUUGUGCCUCAAGGAGAGAGGGCUUGUGUUCCAAAGUGUUAUACACUCACAAUAUCAUGAAUAAUCUAAGACAAAAUGACCUACAAUGUUCUAUUUAUACUAGGUUACAAAUAGAAUACAAAAUGACCAAAAGACCCUUUAAUGAAAAGCCUCAAAAUGCUGC